RNAcentral lists this long non-coding RNA (1757 nucleotides) under Oryctolagus cuniculus (rabbit). RNAcentral describes it as "lncRNA (ENSOCUG00000030744.1)". The record is from RNAcentral. Lineage: Eukaryota; Metazoa; Chordata; Mammalia; Lagomorpha; Leporidae.
GAGAUAUGUCUAACGAUAGUGUGUGUGUGGUUAGGGGCUGGGGGUAGGAUUGACACCAGAAGAGGGUAAAGAGGUAGGAAAGGAUGCCAAGAUUCCAAAAUUGGGAUGAUGUAUUAUUCUUUCUGAUAAAAGACUUGAGCCAAAUUUCCUAAUCCACAAAUAUUCUCUGACUGCUGCCUUCUGUGUGCCAGGUAUCUAUCAUGUGAUGAUGAAUGAGCAACCCCAGAUCAGGGAGGUUGGGAUUGGUUCUAGGAAAUGAAUCAAUAGUAAUGAUACCAAGUGAAAGAUGUCAAACACAGAAAGACAAAUAUAACACAGGAUGGUGUUUAUAUGAGGUAUUGAAAAUAGUCAAAAUCAAGGGGACAAAGAGUGAAAUGGUGAUUACUUGGGGCUGAGUGGAAAGGGAAAUGGAGAGUUACCGACAAAACAGCACAAAGUUUCAGUCAAGCAAGACGAAUAAGCUCUAGAGACCUGCUGUACAGCGUUGCUCCUAAAGUCAACAAUACUGUACUGUACACAAAAAUUAAGGGUUGAUAUCCUAGCACAAUAAAAUAAAGUUUAAAAUAAAUUAAAUUUUAUAAUUUAUUUAAAUAAAAAAAUUUAAAUAAAAUAAAUAAAUGAAACAAAAUUUGCUGUGCUAUUGAAAUUAAUUUAUUGAAACAUGGGGGUCAGUGCCAUAUUGGGAUAUUAAAGGGGAAGAGAGGGAUAGAUAGCUUGAAAGAUGAGAUUCCAGAUCAGUCUGCAGGAGGGGUUCCUCUUGCUGCUGCUGCAGGUGCUCCUUCUGGUGUUCGUUUUCAGAAUGGAGUCUUGCUUUUGAAGAGUUCAUGAGGCAGCCUUCGCUGGUUUAUCAAGAAGGCAGCUGUGCAAUUGAAAGAGGGAGUUCGUAGCUAUGUCCAAAGCCUCCAAACCCAGAGCCACAGCCAAAUGUGUGGAAGUUGCCACAUCCAUAACCAUAGCCAUGACCCAGGCCCAGGCCACCGAAACCUCCAUGGCCAAAGCCCAGGCCACAGAAGCCUCCAUGGUGGUUUUGAUGAAGUUGUCAGUCAGGAUGUCAUCCCCUCCCCUCAUGCAGGGGAGAUAAACCAGGCCAGAUUCCCCCUACACCCACCUGAAUUCAACAUUUGUGCACCCAGCUUCCAGGAGAGAAAACAGCUGGAGAGAAUCAUCCCAGAGGUGAUGCCCACAGACGCUGCCUGGUUUUUCUCUCAAGCUCUGCCUGGGUUCUUGUCCCACUUACAGCUUAGUCAAUAAACUUUUCCUCUCAUAUCCUUCCAAUACAUGUUGUUAUUUUUAUUUCACUUUGUUAGCUACAGUCAGUUUCCGUUGCCAGCAACCAAAGUUCUGAAGCCCCAGUAACACAUUUUCACAUCACUGCCUUUGGCAAGAUUGGGUUCCUGAAACCUGCGACUCCUUCCUCCUGUGCUUACGGCAGGUGCACAGCCAUGAUCAAGUUGCCACUGUCAGCUAAUCCCAUCUAAGAUGAUAAUGACUGACAAGAGCUAAAACUAUCAUCUGCUGAAACAUUUAAGUUCAGUAGAAAACACAGGAAAAUGUUGCAGACACAGAAGAAUGAGACUUUAUUAUGGGAUUUCAGAUGUGCUAAGUAAAAUAUCUACAGGAAGCCAUUCUGUCUCAUGUGAACAGGGUCAUCCAGGUGCCUCUACCCCAGAAUAGCUCCAUGAUUUAUGGAAUCUCACAUGCAAGGAAUCUCUGUACCGAUUUUUAAUUAACCAGCACUGACCAUGAAAACUAAUGUU